Diabrotica virgifera virgifera (western corn rootworm) is the source of this 799-nucleotide long non-coding RNA. RefSeq lists it as uncharacterized. The record is from RefSeq and is a predicted model, not a curated record. NCBI's taxonomy places the organism in Eukaryota, Metazoa, Arthropoda, Insecta, Coleoptera, Chrysomelidae. The transcript has 3 exons.
UCGUAUUUUGCCUAUUUUGGAUUCAUUUGGAUUUUGUUGGCUGUUUUUUGUGUAUUUUUUAAAAGUUUUGUUUGUCAUUUGUGAAUUUUAUAAAUUUACCACAAUGCAAAGUGAUUAUUUAAGGAAAUUAUUAUUGGAAACUCCCCAGAUGUUUUAGAAAGAUAUUCAUUGAAGCUGAAAAUAAUUGAUAAUAGAAAGAGAUUUAGAUCCAUGUACAAUUCAGUCAUCAGAAUUGGAUUUUACAGUAAAGGAGUAAAGUUCAUUCCAACAAUUACUGUUAUAAUGCUAUUAUAGAUAUUUAUACAUAUCUGGUAGAGUCUCACAGUUACUACUUUAAGCAACAGAUGAAAGCAUACAAAAGCCUUCAGGCACAUAAAAGCCUUCACAACUGGAUUUGUUUUGAAAGUUGGAGUAAAAAUUGUUAAUGAUUUCUAUAUUAAUGUUGGAAAGGUGAAGCAUUCCCAAAAAGCUAAUGCUAAACCACUAGAUACUUGGGUGAUAGCCAGUUCCAAUGUCAUAGCAAAUGCACAUUGUAUGUGUAUGGCCGGUAAUAGUGAAGUUUGCAGCCAUAUUGCAGCAAUCUUAUUUGCAGGUGAGUAUGCCCACAGCAAGACAGAAGAAGAAGAACCCAAUGCAUGUACAGAUGUUACAGCUAUGUACAUUCUCUGAUGAAAAACUAAUGAGUUUUCAAACUGUUCGGUCAGAGUGCUUGUUGCGCUCUAUAAACGAACUGUUGAACUUUUGGCUUCAUGUUGCAGCGAUAUGAAAAUGGUUAGGCUACGGCUCCACGGGCGAGAAA